Molecule: ribosomal RNA, 587 nt
Filed under: uncultured bacterium
Lineage: Bacteria
Description: partial 16S ribosomal RNA
Rfam family: Bacterial small subunit ribosomal RNA
Source: RNAcentral
UGGGGAAUUUUGGACAAUGGGCGAAAGCCUGAUCCAGCAAUGCCGCGUGUGUGAAGAAGGCCUUCGGGUUGUAAAGCACUUUUGUCCGGAAAGAAAUCCUUGGCUCUAAUACAGUCGGGGGAUGACGGUACCGGAAGAAUAAGCACCGGCUAACUACGUGCCAGCAGCCGCGGUAAUACGUAGGGUGCAAGCGUUAAUCGGAAUUACUGGGCGUAAAGCGUGCGCAGGCGGUUUGCUAAGACCGAUGUGAAAUCCCCGGGCUCAACCUGGGAACUGCAUUGGUGACUGGCAGGCUAGAGUAUGGCAGAGGGGGGUAGAAUUCCACGUGUAGCAGUGAAAUGCGUAGAGAUGUGGAGGAAUACCGAUGGCGAAGGCAGCCCCCUGGGCCAAUACUGACGCUCAUGCACGAAAGCGUGGGGAGCAAACAGGAUUAGAUACCCUGGUAGUCCACGCCCUAAAACGAUGUCAACUAGUUGUUGGGGGAUUCAUUUCCUUAGUAACGUAGCUAACGCGUGAAGUUGACCGCCUGGGGGAGUACGGUCGCAAGAUUAAAACUCAAAGGAAUUGACGGGGUCAUAGCUGUUUCC